Molecule: unclassified non-coding RNA, 342 nt
Filed under: Nocardia cyriacigeorgica
Lineage: Bacteria; Bacillati; Actinomycetota; Actinomycetes; Mycobacteriales; Nocardiaceae
Description: 16S-23S ribosomal RNA intergenic spacer
Source: RNAcentral
CUAAGGAGCAUCUGCACUGCUCGCUUCGUAGAGUCGAAGGUCGAGAGUGCCAGAGCCGCUUAUGUUCCCGAAUGUGGAACUGCGGAGCUCAUGGGUGGAACGCUGACAUGUGCCGGCAUCAACUUCACUGCUGAGUCAGUGGGGCGCCGGAUGUAGUCGACACACUGUUGGGUCCUGAAAGAACAGACGUUCUUUCCAGGCAAAAAUACGACGAAAUCUUCUUCGCGGACAUACCGCAGGGUUUCUCUGGCUGGUGCCGCAGGAGCGAGAAGGUUUUGUGUGUUGUUUGAGAACUGCACAGUGGACGCGAGCAUCUUUGUUAGUAAGUGUGUAAGAGCGUAC